GCCACAGUAGCUCAGUUGGUAGAGCAGCGGUUUCGUAAACCGCAGGUCUCCGGUUCAAGCCCGGACUGUGGCUCCA
RNAcentral lists this transfer RNA (76 nucleotides) under Terriglobia bacterium. RNAcentral's name for it is "tRNA-Thr". It matches the Rfam family "tRNA". Rfam says of the family: Transfer RNA (tRNA) molecules are approximately 80 nucleotides in length. Their secondary structure includes four short double-helical elements and three loops (D, anti-codon, and T loops). Further hydrogen bonds mediate the characteristic L-shaped molecular structure. tRNAs have two regions of fundamental functional importance: the anti-codon, which is responsible for specific mRNA codon recognition, and the 3' end, to which the tRNAs corresponding amino acid is attached (by aminoacyl-tRNA synthetases). tRNAs cope with the degeneracy of the genetic code in two manners: having more than one tRNA (with a specific anti-codon) for a particular amino acid; and 'wobble' base-pairing, i.e. permitting non-standard base-pairing at the 3rd anti-codon position. The record is from RNAcentral. Lineage: Bacteria; Pseudomonadati; Acidobacteriota; Terriglobia.